CUCCCUGCUCAAAAAAUGUCUAUUUAGAACAAAGACCUGGGCAAUGUAGGAAUGGAACUCCUUUCUUCUUCUCCUGGCUUCCUUGAGGAAGGCUUUUUCCUAAGCACCCUCUCCCCUUUUUCCCCACUCCAUCUCAAGAGGGGUGGGUGAUUUAUCUGUUUGGUAAAUCUCUGAAGAAGAACCACUAAUGCAAAUUCUUGCUCUGCUGUUCUUCCUCUUAGAAGCCAGCUGCCCUCUAGAAGCUCAUAUCCCCUGCUACUCCCCCAGUUCCUUUACCCCUCCUGGGUUAAAUCUGUUUAAUUGUGGGAUGAGUAUUAGUAAGAACACAUGGCUACAGACCUAGGGCCAUAUUCUUCAACCUCAUCUCUACCAAUAAUAAGAUGUAAUCAUAAUGCAGAUUUCUAUUUUUACUCUUUGUUUUAUUUUCUCAGUUUGUCCGUAACUCAAGCAAGGAAGAGAGGUACUAUUUAUUGGGGGUCCUCUUGGGGACUCCAACAGAGGGUAAUUAAUAUUUUUCCAAAGAGAAAUGCUAUUCAUUGCAAUUCCAGAAGAGUAAAUAGCAAAACCUCUUUUUUAUUUUAUUUUAAUUCCAGUAUAGUUAAAAUACACUGAUAUACUACUUACAAGUAUACAGUUAAGUUAUUCAACAUUCUAUACAUUACUCAGUGCUCAUCAUGAUUAAGUGUACUCUUAAACAAAACCUUUUACAGACUCCUAAACACACCAAAUAGCUGAAUCUUGAAGACAUGCAAUAUCUCAUUAAGAAUUAUAUCCUCCUUUUAGUAAACAUGAGCAUUCUGAUAGCCAUCUUUCCCUGAAUCACUUAUAGCCACAUUCAAUGGAAUAUAAAUAGUAGAAACAGAAAAAUACAUACUAUAUGCUGAAUUUACCAAUUAUUUCCAUCAGAAAGAGAGUUCAUUCCUUUGUUUUCUGCCUAACAGUAGUUAAAAGCAAACAAAUAAUUGAAUGAGACAUUUCCUGAACUCAGAAAGGGAAAUCAGUUCAACUCCUUUUAUUAUAGCAGAUAAAGAAAAAAAAAAAAUCAGAGCAUUAACAAAAAUCCAGAGAAAGACCUCUUGAAAUAGAACCUAAUUAAUUUUCUUUAAUAACUGUAAAAUGUUUUACUGAAGGACAAAAUGUAGUCUUAGCAAAGUUUAAUGCUCUCCUGAACCCAUCCUGUGCUAUGUGGCCAAAUAGAAGUAUCUAAUGUGAUGUGACAAAAAUAAAAUUUAAAAAGGAUAAAACUAUUGCUCUCAAGAGUAAGAUUCUUAUCAUUCUUCUAGCUAGUGAUCACCUUUGGGCUCUAUUAUUUUCAGGAACUGUUGAUGCUAUUCACAGCAGGACAGAUACAUCAAAAAAGAGGAAAUAAGAGAAAGAAUAGUGACAAAAUAAAUUUUGUAAUAUGUCAUCAAAAAUACUGGAAGGAAGGUGCUUGGCUGUCUUGGUCAGUGGAGCAAGUGACUCUUGAUCUUGAAGUUGUAAGUUUGAGCCCCAUGUUGCAUAUAGAGAUGACUUAAAAAUAAAUAUCUUUAAAAAAAAAAAUACUAGGAGGAAUUGUGAAUCAUUUAGCAAUUAUUCCUGUUUUAUUUUCUUUAAGAUUUUUUAAAUUGAUUUCAUUUUAGGGAGAGAGAGAAAGCCGGGGGAGGGGGAGAGGGAGAGGGAGAGAAUCUCAAGCAAGCUCCCCGCUCCAUCCCACUCCUUCCCCACUGAGCACAGAGACUGACGCAAGACUCGAUCUCACGACCCUGAGAUCAUGACCUGAGCCAAAACCAAGAGUCAGAUGCUUAACUGACUACCCAGCUACACCCAAAUCAUUCCUGUUUUAAAGUGGCACAUUCAGAGCAAGAAUGAAGAUAAAGGAGGAGAGUAUUAUAGACCUCAAUUGCCAUUACAGUGGUUCCAAAGUACUUCUGAUCAUUAGAAAUCAUUUAUUUUUAUUGAAGAAUAAGAAUUCUAACUGGCUUCUUUGCAGAAAAUGACAAGCUAAUUCAAAAAUUCAUGUGGACAUAUGGAUCAAAAAAGAAAUCUCAAGAAAAUUUUUUAAAUAUUUUGAACUAAGUGAAAAUAUAAAAUUUGUGGGAUACAGCUAAAACAAUGCUUAGAGGGAAAUUUAUAGCAUUGAAUGUAUGUAUUAGAAGAGAAAGAUCUAAAAUCAUUAAUUUAAGCUUCCACCUAAAACUGGAAAAAGAAGAGCAAAUUAAAUUCAAAGUAAGCAGAAGUAAAGAAAUAAAAAUUAGAGAAGAAAUUAAUAAAUUGAAAACUUCUCCAGUGAAAACUGAAAAUCAAUGAAAUGAAAAACUGAUUCUCUGAAAAGAUCACUAAAACCAAAAAAGCUUCUAGCCAAGCUAUCCAAAAAAAGAGAGAAAACACAAGUUACAAAUAUCAGAAGUGAAAGAGGGAACAUCACUACAGACCCCAUAAAUAUCAAAAGGAUUAUAAAGGAAUACUAUCUCUGAACAACUCUCUGCUCAAGAAUUUGAUAACCUAGAUAGAACGGACCAAUUUUUUCAAAGAGACGAUCUGCCAAAACUCAUACUAGAAGAAAUAGACAACCUGAAUAGGCCUACAUAUAUUAAAGAAAUGUAAUUAAUAAAUAGUAACCUUCCAAAAGAAAAAGCACCAGGCUCAGAUGGGUUUGCUGGUGAAUUCUAAACAUUUAAGGAAGAAAUUUUUUCAUACUCUGCAAUCUCUUUCAGAAGACAGAAGCAGAGGGGAUUCUUCCUAACUCAUUCUGUGCCUCUCCUGCUGCUCAUGCUCUCUUGUGCG
Molecule: non-coding RNA, 2766 nt
Organism: Callorhinus ursinus (northern fur seal)
Lineage: Eukaryota; Metazoa; Chordata; Mammalia; Carnivora; Otariidae
Source: RefSeq, a predicted model, not a curated record